Molecule: ribosomal RNA, 1622 nt
Filed under: biogas fermenter metagenome
Description: bacterial LSU rRNA
Rfam family: Bacterial large subunit ribosomal RNA
Source: RNAcentral
CCGGAGGUAGAGCACUGGAUAGGCGAUGGGCCCCACCGGGUUACUGACCUUAGCCAAACUCCGAAUGCCGGUACGUGAGAGCGUAGCAGUGAGACUGUGGGGGAUAAGCUUCAUAGUCGAGAGGGAAACAGCCCAGAACAUCAGCUAAGGCCCCUAAGCGUGUGCUAAGUGGAAAAGGAUGUGGAGUUGCUGAGACAACCAGGAGGUUGGCUUAGAAGCAGCCACCCUUGAAAGAGUGCGUAAUAGCUCACUGGUCAAGUGAUUCUGCGCCGACAAUUUAGCGGGGCUCAAGUUAUCCGCCGAAGCUAUGGCAUUCAUGCACAUAACCGUAAGGUUGCAUGGAUGGGUAGGGGAGCGUCGUGUACACAGUGAAGCGGCGGGGUAACCCAGCCGUGGAGAGCACACGAGUGAGAAUGCAGGCAUGAGUAGCGAAAGACGGGUGAGAAACCCGUCCGCCGAAUGACCAAGGGUUCCAGGGCCAGGUUAAUCCGCCCUGGGUUAGUCGGGACCUAAGGCGAGGCCGACAGGCGUAGUCGAUGGACAUCGGGUUGAUAUUCCCGAACCGAUCGUAGGAGGACCCAUACCGAGGCGGCUGAUGCUAACCACCCGAGCUUUCCCCUCGCCCUUCGGGGUGGGGAGGUUGGUGAGGCUGGGAACCAAGGUUGUAGUAGGUCAGCGCGUGGGAUGACGCAGAGAGGUAGCUUCCGCGGACUUAAUGGAAUAGUCCGUCUAAGCGUGCAGCCCGGCCCCGGGUAAUGCUGGGGCCUUGUGGGUGAGACGUGAUGGGGAUCCCGUAUGGGCGUAGGUGAGUGAUCCUGUACUGCCAAGAAAAGUUCCGGCGUGACGAAUACGGUCGCCCGUACCCUAAACCGACUCAGGUGAUCAGGUAGAGAAUACCGAGGCGUUCGAGAGAAUCGUGGUUAAGGAACUCGGCAAAAUGCCCCCGUAACUUCGGGAGAAGGGGGGCCCGAACCGUGAGAGCGGUGAGGGCCGCAGAGACCAGGGAGAAGCGACUGUUUACUAAAAACACAGGUCCGUGCGAAGUCGUAAGACGCUGUAUACGGACUGACGCCUGCCCGGUGCUGGAAGGUUAAGAGGACCGGUUAGAGCUCUUCGGAGUUCGAAGCUGAGAAUUUAAGCCCCAGUAAACGGCGGUGGUAACUAUAACCAUCCUAAGGUAGCGAAAUUCCUUGUCGGGUAAGUUCCGACCUGCACGAAUGGCGUAACGACUUCUCCACUGUCUCAACCGCGAACUCGGCGAAAUUGCAUUACGAGUAAAGAUGCUCGUUACGCGCAGCAGGACGGAAAGACCCCGGGACCUUUACUAUAGUUUGGUAUUGGUGUUCGGUACGGCUUGUGUAGGAUAGGUGGGAGACUGGGAAGCAUUCACGCCAGUGAGUGUGGAGUCAUUGUUGAAAUACCACUCUGGUCGUUCUGGAUUCCUAACCUCGGUCCGUGAUCCGGAUCAGGGACAGUGUCUGAUGGGUAGUUUAACUGGGGCGGUUGCCUCCUAAAGAGUAACGGAGGCGCUCAAAGGUUCCCUCAGCCUGGUUGGCAAUCAGGUGUUGAGUGUAAGUGCACAAGGGAGCUUGACUGCGAGACUGACAAGUCGGGCAGGUGCG